This 325-nucleotide ribosomal RNA is filed under the name uncultured eukaryote. Its description in RNAcentral is "partial 18S ribosomal RNA". It matches the Rfam family "Eukaryotic small subunit ribosomal RNA", at positions 1470 to 1796 of the family's 1831-position model. The record is from RNAcentral.
CCCUUAGAUGUUCUGGGCCGCACACGCGCUACACUGAAGGAGGCAGCGUGUACUCCUGGAUCGAAAGAUUUGGGUAACCCGCGAAUCUCCUUCGUGCUAGGGAUUGAGGUUUGCAAUUAUCCUUCAUGAACGAGGAAUUCCCAGUAAGUGCAAGUCAUCAGCUUGCAUUGAUUACGUCCCUGCCCUUUGUACACACCGCCCGUCGCACCUACCGAUUGAAUGGUCCGGUGAAAUCUUCGGAUCUGAGAGAUGUCUGAUUAAUUUCGGACGCCUUUUGGAAAAGUUGCUUAAACCUUACCAUUUAGAGGAAGGUGAAGUCGUANCA